GCCAUCGUACAUGCUCUGGGUGUCUUGAGGAGCUUGUCUUUGGAUGAUGCUGAGCAGGUCUUUCUUUCUGGUAAAGAUUAUCAUUACAGUGAAGUAAAAGAAUUUAACAGACAAACAACUGACGAAAGAAGAGAGACCAUUCAAUAGGUGGGUAUUGCUCUUAUAUACUUAAAAAUAUGAAGUUGGGAGUAGGUGUCCUGUUUGGUUCUCCCAACAGUGCAUAAGCUUAAGCCAGAAAUUAUAUAUAUACUGUAUAUAACACUGUAAAGCAAAUGUUUGUUAUUUUACCUCUUAUAUUAAAUAUUGCAUAACAAUUGGUUAACCUUUGAGUUCAUAUACAUGAUUUUACAUAUUCAAGAAUAUAUAUAUAUUCAUUCAUUUUCUUUUCGGCUUAGUCCCUUUAUUUAUCAGGGGUUGCCACAGCAGAAUGAACCGCCAACUUAUCCAGCAUAUGUUUUACACAGUGGAUGCCCUUCCAGCCGCAACCCAGUACUGGGAAACACCCAUUUACACUCAUAGUGUACACUUGAACACGGGGAGAACAUGCAAAUUCUACACAGAAAGGACCACUGGCCCAGCCGGGGCUUGAACCAGCAACCUUCUUGCUGUGAGGCGACGGUGCUAACCACUGUGCUGCCCUAUGUGCUCUAUGCGGGUGAGUGGGAUUGACAAACCACCUGGAGGACACACUCUUGCUGUCUUAAUGCACCAGACAUUUUGUUAUAAAUAAUCAUGUGCGUUUCAUGUUUAUUCAUAUAACUACUAUUUUAUGUCAUAGCACUUCAUUUUUGUCUUGAUAUUUAAUAUGUCUUGUUUAAAUACACUAUGAACAGCAGCUGCGCUAAUUAAUUUCCUUGUUCCCUAUUUCCACCUGGGGAUAUUC
Danio rerio (zebrafish) is the source of this 883-nucleotide non-coding RNA. The record is from Ensembl. NCBI's taxonomy places the organism in Eukaryota, Metazoa, Chordata, Actinopteri, Cypriniformes, Danionidae.